AACACGUGAGAAUUUACCUUUAGGAGGGGGAUAACAGAGUGAAAACGCUGCUAAUACCCCAUAUGCUUUCGAGUGAAAUGGAUUUAUUCGCCUAAAGAGAAGCUCGCGGCUGAUUAGCUUGUUGGUAAGGUAAUGGCUUACCAAGGCGACGAUCAGUAUCUGGUUUGAGAGGACGAUCAGACACACUGGAACUGAGACACGGUCCAGACUCCUACGGGAGGCAGCAGUGGGGAAUUUUCCGCAAUGGGCGAAAGCCUGACGGAGCAAUACCGCGUGAGGGAUGAAGGCUUACUGAGUUGUAAACCUCUUUUUUCAAGGAAGAAGUUCUGACGUUACUCGAAGAAUAAGCAUCGGCUAACUCCGUG
RNAcentral lists this ribosomal RNA (365 nucleotides) under uncultured bacterium. RNAcentral's name for it is "bacterial SSU rRNA". It matches the Rfam family "Bacterial small subunit ribosomal RNA", at positions 112 to 507 of the family's 1533-position model. The record is from RNAcentral.